UUUCCGUAGGUGAACCUGCGGAAGGAUCAUUACAGAGUUCAUGCCCUCACGGGUAGAUCUCCCACCCUUGAAUAUUUAUACCUUAGUUGCUUUGGCAGGCCGUGGAAACACCAUGGGCUCCGGCUUAUGCGUGCCUGCCAGAGGAAACAAACUCUGUUUUUAGUGAUGUCUGAAUACUAUAUAAUAGUUAAAACUUUCAACAACGGAUCUCUUGGUUCUG
RNAcentral lists this unclassified non-coding RNA (220 nucleotides) under plant metagenome. RNAcentral's name for it is "partial contains small subunit ribosomal RNA, internal transcribed spacer 1, and 5.8S ribosomal RNA". The record is from RNAcentral.